AUGAUUUGUACUUUUCUACGAGCCAUACAAUAUACGGGGAAGCUGCACAGGUCCUCGGCAAAGCGAUUGCUGUUGCCACACGCUGUGCUCAACGAAGCUGCUUGAAGACUCAGCCCAGUUUGAGAUGGGGGCUUCACUAUCAAAAGAAAACAGUGCGACCUAGAUGUAUUCUUGGAGCCACCCAGAAAGCCAUCUGGACUCAGGGGCCGAGCUCCCGAAAAGCAAAGGAGGAUGGUAGCAACCAAGUGUCGGUGCACAGGAGUCAGAGAGGGGGCACCGCCGUCUCAACAGCACAGAAAGUGAAAGACUUUCAGGCCGGAAGAGAUUUUACCUAUUUAAGAGUGGUGCUCUUUGGAAUCACCAUUACAGGUGGCUUGUUUUACACAAUUUUCAAAGAACUCUUUUCUUCCUCAAGUCCUAGCAAGAUAUAUAGGAGAGCCCUAGAAAAAUGCAGAUCACAUCCCGAGGUGAUCGGUGUCUUUGGUGAGCCUAUUAAAGGCUACGGGGAGGCGACAAAGCGGGGUCGCAGGCAGCACAUCAGUUUCGUUGAAUAUGUAAAAGGUGGGCUAGAACACAUGCGUGUAAAAUUCUACAUCGAGGGCUCCGAGCCAGGGAAGCAAGGAACAGUGCAUGCAGAAGUGAAAGAGGUGUGGGAAUCGUGGGUCGUGGGGUCAGAAGUUCUAAUCGCAGUGUUACUUAAGUUCUAGAAAGGAAAAUAAUACCUGGAAAUACUACAUUUUUUUCAGAACCCAGAAAGUGGUGAAUAUGAUUUUCG
Molecule: RNA transcript, 775 nt
Organism: Cebus imitator (Panamanian white-faced capuchin)
Lineage: Eukaryota; Metazoa; Chordata; Mammalia; Primates; Cebidae
Gene name: mitochondrial import inner membrane translocase subunit Tim21-like
Exons: 1
Source: RefSeq, a predicted model, not a curated record